RNAcentral lists this ribosomal RNA (250 nucleotides) under uncultured bacterium. RNAcentral describes it as "partial 16S ribosomal RNA". It matches the Rfam family "Bacterial small subunit ribosomal RNA", at positions 524 to 775 of the family's 1533-position model. The record is from RNAcentral.
UACGGAGGAUGCAAGCGUUAUCCGGAAUGAUUGGGCGUAAAGCGUCCGCAGGUGGCAAUGUAAGUCUGCUGUCAAAGCGUCUGGCUCAACCAGAUAAAGGCAGUGGAAACUACAUAGCUAGAGUAAGGUAGGGGUAGAGGGAAUUCCUGGUGUAGCGGUGAAAUGCGUAGAGAUCAGGAAGAACACCGGUGGCGAAAGCGCUCUGCUGGACCUUAACUGACACUGAGGACGAAAGCUAGGGAGCGAAUGG